AAAAGGUAACGAACUUAGAUAAAAACUUUUGCACAAAGCUCUUCACAAUAUUCUGUCAAAAUGACAAUACAAAAUUAAUAAAUUAAAUGGAAGGUUAAAAUUGGAAAAAUUGCGAGGAGUUUACAAAUAUAACCAUGUUUUUAAGAACAUAAGCUUUCUCCUUGUUCUUCCGAAUAAGUCUGGUAAUAUCUUUAAAUUUAUGUAAAUGAGAAUGUAACAUGUGCAUCCUUAGAGGCAUUAUACAUCUGAUGAUAGGUAAAUAGCCCUAUAAUUUCAAUGCACAUCUGCCAUAAAACUGUUCGGAGCUUUCUUCACCUCAUUGCUAAGUAAUUUCGGGAAAAUAUCACCAUCCAUAAUUUAUUUUAGCCUUAAAAAAAAACUUGACAUAUUUUAACUUAAUUAAUGUUGUCAAAAUAGCUAUUAGUUAUUAUAAAAAAGAGAGGAAAUAAACUAACCUUUCAAAAUAUAUCUACAAAAGUUACAUGACACAUGUGGAGCCUAUUUUUUGUCCUGAUUUUUAACAGGUAGAUUGAAGAAGCAAAAUUAUGACGGAUUACUGCAUUGUGCUAACACAUACUGUCGUACACAACGGGCGAUGCAAGCAACACUAUCUCUCGUGCUCUUUCCGUGUUUUUGACAGCAACAGCGCGCGAAGACCGACAUUGUACGGCGCGAAAAUCAAAAAUGGUCAAAUCGCCAUAAUUGCUUAAAAAGCAAAUAUUUUCGAUUUGUAAUCAUCCCAUAUAUAUUUUCUUAUAUAACCAGAAUAUAUUUAGUAAAACCAAUGCGC
Molecule: long non-coding RNA, 790 nt
Organism: Bactrocera oleae (olive fruit fly)
Lineage: Eukaryota; Metazoa; Arthropoda; Insecta; Diptera; Tephritidae
Source: RefSeq, a predicted model, not a curated record